This is a long non-coding RNA of Sapajus apella (tufted capuchin), 2882 nucleotides long. RefSeq lists it as uncharacterized. The transcript is spliced from 5 exons. Lineage: Eukaryota; Metazoa; Chordata; Mammalia; Primates; Cebidae. The record is from RefSeq and is a predicted model, not a curated record.
UUCCAUAGGGAUAAUCCCUUUUUCAGAGCACAUCUCAUUUCCAAGUGGCUGUUGCGCUGCUGUUUGCCCCCACUCCUUCAGUGCGACAGCCUCAGAGCUGGUGGAAAGACUGCAUGCCACGGGAUAAAUUCGUAGACGUGGAAUUCCUGGAUCAAAUGAUACUAAGGGAGACUUCCCUGGAAGCAGACUUGUGUCCGCAGUGUACAAACUCACCCUGUAAUGCACACAAUGGCCAGGUAACACAAACACACAUUUAUCCCCACAGCUCACAGACUCUUGUCACAGUACACAGACUUGCCUUCCAGCACACAGACAUACCCAAAGGCACACCGACAAGCACCACAGCAAAAAGACUUUCCCCAGAGCACACAGACACUCCCAUUCCCUGUAUCAACAGACUCUCUCAAAGGCACCUAUAUUCUCCUUAAAGCAGAGACUCACCUAAGGUGCACUGAUGCACCCAGCAUGACACAGACUUGCCCUCCAUAAGGACUCCACUAUGGCACACAAACAAUCCCAACAUCACAUACUGUUCCCACAUCACACAAACACUUUCUAGGAAACACAAAGCCUACAGACUUACCCCAUAGAGCACGGCUUCCCCCACAAGACACAUUCUCAAGGCCAAUAGACUCACUCCACAGCACACAGACUGUCUCCAGAGCACACAGCUUUUUCCUACAGCAAACAGACUCUCCCCAGUGCACACAGACUCCCCUGACAUCAUACACUCUCACCACAGAUCAUAGACGCAUCCUAGAGCACAGGGACUCUUGCCAAUGAAACAGACUUUCCGCAAGAACAGACUCAUGAGACAGCUUGAAGACCCGCAUCAUGACACAAAGACUCCCACAACGGACAGACUCACCCCAUUGUGUGCAGACAAGCACCCCAGGCCACAGACCCCACAGCACAGAGACUUGCCCAACACUACACAGACACUCCCCAGAGCACAUAGACUCACCCCACAAAGCAGACUAAAUCCAUACUACAGAGACUCUCCCUAUAGCUUUCAGACAAGCUUACCCCGCCACACAGAAAUGCAACAAGACAUCUUACAACAUAUAUCACUCCUUGAUGCACAGAAUUGUGUAACAGCACACAAACUUGUUCUACAAUGCACGAAUUCAUGUCACAGAAGACAUACUCACCACAUAAUACAAAUACUUGCUCCAGACUACACUCAUUUGCCCUAAAAUAUCUGGACCUUCCCAAAAACAGAGUUACCACACAAUGUAUGCUGUGUCCCUGCAUCAUCAAAAUACAACUGAAAUUCCUCAGACCCACUCUGAUCAAUAGACAUACCUCACAAUACACAGGUUGGCAUCAGAGCGGGAAAAACUGGCUCUACCACAGAGUUAUUCCACAACAGACAAACUCGUGCUGUAGAGACACCUAAUCUUUCUCUAAGGUAUUCAGACCUACCCUUUUGGGCACAGUCACAGAUGUGAUCCACAAUACCCUCACUCAUCCCACAAUACUGUUGCAACUCACAGCAUAGAAACACAUCCCACAGCAUAACACUCUAACCCCAUGGUGCUCAGAAAUGUCAGAGCACACAUUUGCCAUACAGAUUUAUUUCAUACACAAAAAACAGUUCUUACAGUGCCUAUACAAUACAAACAUGUAUCCCAAAAUAUAUGAAACUAUUUGCUAUGUCACUCUUAGGUUUAUCCCAAAGCACAUAGACCAGUUUCACUGUUCAAGCUGCUGCCUAUAAACAGGAUAUGUCCAGUCAUGAACAGAAAUUCAUCAAAAUGUACAGAUUCACCCAUCAAUAUACAUCCUUUCCUCACAACUCACACAAACACCACUGAGCACUAGACUCACCCUAAAUGUACAGAUAAGCCCUUCAGGGCACAGACUUACUCUGUAGCAUACUAAAUCAUAUCUAUCACACUUAGAUGUGUCUUCGAUUCACAGUUAUGCCUGUAAACACACAGAUUGCCUCCACAAUGCACAGAAUUGCAUCAUAACACAGACUUACUCUACAGUGCAAAACCAACAAUGCACAUAAACAUUUCCCAGUCGGCAGAUACACAACACACAUAUUGCCGCUACAGUGUAAAGAUUUCCAUGGACAGACAUGUUUAACCAUGAUAUUGAGCUACACCUCUGGCCUACAACAACAGAAUACAGCUUGUGUAAUGAUUCCCAGCAAGGCCUCUAGACCCAUACUAACUGGGUUUGAAUCAAGGUCCCAUCAGUUGCUGAUUGUAUCACCUUGGGAAGAGAUGGAAGAUUGAGAGAGCAGGGUGCAAGAAGGGGAAGAGGGCUUCGUGCCCAGUGCACCUUAGCCACCUAGUGACCAAACUGAAUGGUGUGCUUCUCACCUCAGCCUGGUAGCCUGUCCUUGACUCCUGAGUUCCACAAUCACUUCACAACUGCAAGUCAUUGUCAUACAAAAUUUGAGUUUACCUAAGUCUGCGCAUUUGAGAGUUUUGGAAUGAUAUGCCAGUUCAAGUCACCGUCAUGUUUCUUGCUGUCUCCUGGGAGAAGACCAACAUUUGGGUUACGUGUUUCUACCCUUGUUCUUCUGCUUGUUAUUGUUGCCUCUGCAGCCAUUGGUGACCCACGUGUUAUCAUACAAAAACUGGUUAGCCUUUUAUUUGUCUUGUGGAUUUUAUCAUUUGGUUCUUAAGUAUUACAAAUUAAUACUAUGUACUUCUCAGUGAUAUAGAACUUUCAGUCAUUGUAAAUUUGCAUGAAUUAGGGUGAGAAUGGGUGCAAGCAAAAGAACAAAAAGAGGGAUGAUAGAAAUGCAAGAAGGGCAAAGAUGGUAAGAAAGGUUAUGUUAAUAGCGAACACAAUGAAAGUUCUUUAAAUGCUUGAUAAUAGUGAAAGCAACACUUCCUAGGGCAUAUUUUUGGUGUUAAUGAACC